UACGUAGGGGGCAAGCGUUGUCCGGAGUUACUGGGCGUAAAGCGCACGCAGGCGGUCUCUUAAGUUUGGAGUGACAGUUGGUGGCUUAACUGCCAAAGUGCUUCGAAAACUGAGAGACUUGAGGGCUUCAGAGGGACACGGAAUUCCGGGUGGAGUGGUGAAAUGCGUAGAUAUCGGGAGGAAUACCAGUGGCGAAGGCGGCUUCCUGGCCUGCUCUUGACGCUGAGGCGCGAAAGCUAGGGUAGCAAACGGG
RNAcentral lists this ribosomal RNA (253 nucleotides) under uncultured bacterium. Its description in RNAcentral is "partial 16S ribosomal RNA". It matches the Rfam family "Bacterial small subunit ribosomal RNA", at positions 524 to 776 of the family's 1533-position model. The record is from RNAcentral.